Long non-coding RNA from Cyprinus carpio (common carp), 805 nucleotides. RefSeq lists it as uncharacterized. NCBI's taxonomy places the organism in Eukaryota, Metazoa, Chordata, Actinopteri, Cypriniformes, Cyprinidae. The record is from RefSeq and is a predicted model, not a curated record. The transcript has 2 exons.
UACAGAUCUUCUUUAUGCACCAAGAGCUUAUAACACUUCAAAGAGAGGAAAACUUGAAAUCGCAUCAUAUGACCCCUUUAAUGUCACAACUGACAACUAAUUGUAAACUAAAUGUAUUCGUAGCUAAAUAACCUGUCUGCUGUCAAAGUACCGUUCAUUGUCAUAGCGAAUGUUAACUCGCUGAACUUUAAUGUAAAAUGUUAAUAAAAUGUAACAAUUUAUUACAAAAAAAAAAAAAAAUUGUAGGCUAUAAAAAUAAUUAGGUAAUCAAAUGACAAGUCUAUUUUUUCUUCGUGGAAUGUCCGUUUAUUCAUAUUUCUAAGCAUAAAAUGUACAAAAGGUGCUGCAGGUUUCUGUCGUUCAGGUUGUGACAUCUGACAACCACUGCUUAACUGCACACUUUGUAGUCCACUUAAUUAUCCAGUCGUGAUCUGAAUGGAAGGCGGCUCGGAUCACUCGAGGGGCAGGUCACUUCAGGGGUAGAUCUGCGUGCCUGCAGCAGCUGCUGUAUCUCUGUUCUCGCUGCUGAUGUAAGAUGGCGGUAUCAUGUACAGUCGCGGACUCAGGGUACCAGACAGAGGGGCUGCUGCGCUGGGGGCUGUGGAAUGAGGUAGUAGUUUGUAUAGUUUGGGAUCACACCAGAUCUGGGAGAUAACUAUACAGCCUACUGUCUUUCUCACAGCUGCUCCCUCACAUCAGAUACACCGAUGACGUACCUUCACAUGGGAUUUGUGGGAUAGCUGAAUAUAUUAUACAUCUUUGUACUAUGCUUUCUGAGUAGGUAAAUAAAUAGUAGAUAAUUGGU